AAAACAACUCUCGGCAACGGAUAUCUCGGCUCUCGCAUCGAUGAAGAACGUAGCGAAAUGCGAUACUUGGUGUGAAUUGCAGAAUCCCGUGAACCAUCGAGUCUUUGAACGCAAGUUGCGCCCAAAGCCUUCGGGCUAAGGGCACGUCUGCCUGGGCGUCACGC
RNAcentral lists this ribosomal RNA (164 nucleotides) under Nymphanthus balgooyi. Its description in RNAcentral is "Phyllanthus balgooyi 5.8S ribosomal RNA". It matches the Rfam family "5.8S ribosomal RNA". Rfam says of the family: 5.8S ribosomal RNA (5.8S rRNA) is a component of the large subunit of the eukaryotic ribosome. It is transcribed by RNA polymerase I as part of the 45S precursor that also contains 18S and 28S rRNA. The record is from RNAcentral. Lineage: Eukaryota; Viridiplantae; Streptophyta; Magnoliopsida; Malpighiales; Phyllanthaceae.